GAUGAAGAACGUAGCGAAAUGCGAUAAGUAAUGUGAAUUGCAGAAUUCAGUGAAUCAUCGAAUCUUUGAACGCACAUUGCGCCCGCCAGUAUUCUGGCGGGCAUGCCUGUUCGAGCGUCAUUUCAACCCUCAGGGCCCUUUUGGACCUGGCGUUGGGGCUCGGCCGCUACCCUGCGGCCGUCCCCGAAAGAUAGUGGCGGUCUCGCUGUAGCCUCCUCUGCGUAGUAGUUACAUCUCGCACUGGAACGCGGCGCGGCCAUGCCGUUAAACACCCCUCUUCUCAAGGUUGACCUCGGAUCAGGUAGGAAUACCCGCUGAACUUAAGCAUAUCAAUAAGCGGAGGA
Molecule: unclassified non-coding RNA, 344 nt
Filed under: soil metagenome
Description: partial contains 5.8S ribosomal RNA, internal transcribed spacer 2, and large subunit ribosomal RNA
Rfam family: 5.8S ribosomal RNA (bases 1-120)
Source: RNAcentral